This is a long non-coding RNA of Synchiropus splendidus (mandarinfish), 4056 nucleotides long. RefSeq lists it as uncharacterized. The record is from RefSeq and is a predicted model, not a curated record. The transcript has 5 exons. Lineage: Eukaryota; Metazoa; Chordata; Actinopteri; Syngnathiformes; Callionymidae.
UUGAAAUGACUCAGUCCAGGAAAGGAGAGGAGACAAACUCACCGUGGGACGGCGCUUUCGUUCUUAAACUCUACAGACGGUAAGACAAGUCACACUGAACAAGUGAUGUCGCAAAUACUGUUGAGGUGGGAGGAGCUUCUAGUUCUCCGGACGUCUCACCUUACUCCUGGACCACGAGUCCCUCUCAGGUCUGUGGGCCGCUGGCGAGGAGGUUCCGGACCAUUCUGAAGAUAGUCCCAGUCGGUCCAGGUUGACAUACGGGGUCACAGACUCCUGCUGAGGUUGGUCUGGAAAAACCCAUUAGUUUCUAUGGAGAUGAUGAUGAUGAAGAUGAUAGGUCACCUGGAUCCACUGCCAGGACAAAAGACUCGGGGGUUCUCUCGGGGAGUGGGGGCACAGGUGAAGGUGGACCACCUGGAGGGAAGGUUGGUCUAUGAGGGUCAGUGACACACCUCUGUGGGCGAAGUUUAGUUACCCGCAGUGACUUCACCGGGUGGAACGAUGAGUGACAGCGGCCCUGGCGCAGCAUCACCUGCAGGAAGAGCAUGGAUCAACCAUGUGGUGUCAGCACGUCAGUCAUCACAGAGCCGGCUCCUGAUUGGUCAGUGCCGGUGUAUGGAGGGAUAUUUUUGCCAUCGAGAUUUGAAUUAAAAAAAAAAAACAAAUUGAAUUUGAAAAAAAAAAUCUAAAUUAAAAAAAUUCAUUCUGAAAAAUUAUGUUUUGAUGCCCCGUUAUUAAGGUUUGAAUACAAAAAAGGAUUUACAUAGUAUUUCAAAGUUUUAUAUUUCAAACUUGAAUCAAAGCAUUAAUGUUUUUAAAUACAAUGUAAUUAUUUUUUGUAUUCAAAACAGGGCAUCAAAACAUAAUAUUUCGGAAUGAAAUUUUUUUUUUUUCAUUUGUAUUCAAGUAUGUAUGGCAGAGAUAUCCCUCCAUACCGGUGCAGGUGUCAGGUGUGUGAAGUGUGAGCGUCAGACCUUCAGGAGCAGCCAGGAGGUACGACUCUGGGGUUCUCUCAGGGAGAGGAGGAGGGUCAUCUUCAUCACCUGAAACUGAGCAGCAGCUCCAUCAGAGCCGGAGGGUGCUGCUGACACCAGGGACUCACCUGUGCUGGAGGAGCAGUGCUGCUCCGUCUGCUCCUCCAGGUGAAUCAGAGGAACCUCACCCUCCCACCGUCCCACCUCCUCAAAGGCUUCAAAGUACGGAUCCUCCACAGUGAGGCCCGAAGCUUCUGCUUCCAGAUGGGAGUGUGUCGCGUGCUGCUGCUGCCAUUCUGGGGACGCGAUGACGUCAUCACCAUCUGAAGAGGAAGAGAGGUGCUGUUGGGGAGCGUCCUCCUCGUCCUCCCGCAGAUCAUCCAUCCACUCAGGGGGUCCAUGCUUCGCCUGGAGCACUGGUGGUGCCGGGAACCUGGUGAAGAGCAAGCGAAUGGCUCCGUACACCAGCUUGUACUGCUCCUGUGAGAACAGACGUCAGUGUGGCCCGUCCCCGUUCAGAACCUCUCCCGUGGCUCUACCUUGGUCUGGACCAGCGACUGCCGCUGAGUUCUCAUUUGAUGGACCAGGUUGUAGAUGUUGAAGUCUGAAGGAAUCAUCUGCAAACAAAGGUCAUGAUGAUGUGUCGUGGCUCUCUCACCCAGCAGGGUCCAGGUGAAGUCAAUGGCACACAGAACCCCGGUCCGUCCACACCCAGCACUGCAGUCACAACAGCAGGAUGCUGCUUUAGAUGGCACAUGAAGGACAGUCUAGGUCCAAGACCGGUCCAGGUCCAACUGGCCGGACCCUUUAGGAGUACUCACCUGCAGUGGAUGCAGAUGGGAACGUCGUCGUGAGGCUGGUAGAAGCGCAUCUCCGCUAACAUCUCCAGAAUAGGGGGAAUAGAGUCGGGAAUGCCGUGGUCCGGCCAGUGGACGUAGUGCAGCUGCUUCAGCGUCCGGCUGCACUGCAGCACACACACACGCCAUGAGCCAGGUGUCGGCCCGGCGCCACCACCAGGCCGUCACUUACACUGUUGAAGGUCACCUCCAGCGUUCGGGUCAGGUAGUCGCCUUUGUGUUCCUCGCUUUCCUGGCCAGACAAGUGCAGAUGUUCCACUCAGUCCAAGGCUGUGCUGCAUGAGAGCAGGCCAAAGACUCACGCAGCAGACGCUGAAGGCCUGGCAGACAAAGGGCGGCUCCUCCGGCAGUGGCCAGUAGCGCUCACACUUCUUCUGCAGGGACAGUGUCAGAGUCAGACCACUGUGCUCUGCGUCCCCCUUGUGUUCAGGUCCCUACUCUGACCCAAGUGGAGGGCCACACCACACACACACUGCUGUCUGAAGGGGAAGCACCAGAGGGAAGCUCGACAGGAAGUCAAACAGACUUGGUGGGGAACGUUUUGUCGGCCCGAUACUUGGUGGACUGAUUCUUCAGCCUCUGAAACCAGCAAACAUGGCAGAAGCUGAGUGAUGCGGGAGCGUUGGUGUUGUCUGCUCAGAAGCAAGACAGCGGUGGUCACCAGACCUGCCUCCACUGCCGAUGAUGUCAUAAAUCCCCUUGGUGUCUGAACGUACUGGCUUCAUCUGGGCUCCUCGGAGAGGAAGUCUGAGUGGCUGUUGAGGCCGGCGAUGCAGCGGCACCGGCCUGGACGGGGUCGACUGGGGUCACGCCCCUAUGUCCUUGGAUCCUGACCCGCAUGUGACCUUCCUGGUGGCCUCGUCACACCUUGUUCUUUCUAAAUCUUGACUCCACUUCUGGUAAGUUGCCCGCAACUCCUGCUCCACUUCUACUCACCAGAAACUCUCCGGAGAUGCUGCUGGCCUCGUCCUCCGCUUCCUGCCGCUCCAGCUGCUCCAGCAGGCUCCUCAGCGUCCAGGCCUGGAGCUCCAUGCAGGCGCGAUCCUCCGAGGACAUGUCAGGGCUGGAGUGUCUCCAUGAAGUCACCGGAUCAGGCGCUGCGAGUGUCAGUUGUGCUGCUGUGCCUCAUCACCGCAUUCAGGAACUCAGCAGAGAGGAACUGUGACAGAGGAGGAAGUGAGCAGCUCUGUGGUCACAUUAAAGCAAGAAACACCCCCCACAGCCUGUCACCAGCCGGGUCCUGAGUUCCACAGCGACUCACACGCUCCACUUCCACCAGCCCUCGGACGGCAUCCAGCUGAGCAGGAGUGGAGCCUCGCAGGAUCUCACAUCCAUCAUACAUCUGGAGCCAAGGCCGCUCAAGUGUGUGAACGCCUGCGACAUCUAGUGGCCAGACAGUCAAGCUCGACGCUAGCGGCCUGUCACACACCUGGAGGAAGUUGUGUGCACAACAUUGGUGUUAUCACACGUACGUGCCUCUAUACCGGAAACUGUUUGACAUUCUGAUGAGAGUCAAGUCCGUACAGGACAAUAAAUGUUCCUCAUUCUGCUGCCAGUUGUCGUUGAAGUCAACGUCUUCUAAGUGAAGGGAGGGAAGGGAAGAACUUCUCCAGCAGUCUGGGCCUCCAGAAGUCUGGACUUUAGUCACCACUUCUUGCCUUGGCCACGUCGACCCUUCAGAGACGAGGUGCUCCAGUGAUCUCAGUCACACCUUCAGUCUCCGUCUACUGUCCUGUAAAAUGUGCUUCUGAGUGAAGUCUCCACGGACCCUCACCUGACCUCUGACCUCGAGGGUCACAGACACUGCCUCACACUUCAUUCGAGUCGACAAACUCCUGACUCAUUUUCGUCCUGUCGAUCAGCGGGCGGAAAAAAAAGCUAUAAGAAGCUCCGAGAAUCUGUGACCGCGACUCGAUGAAAAAACAUUUCCUGUAUCAACGUGUUGCCACAGAGCACAGGACAGUGUGUUUGAUGUGGAGUCUGCUCAUGAUAUACGGUGUUUACCUGUUGAAUUACGCUGCUGUUUGCUGAUCCAACGUUUAAAUGUUACAUGUCGAACCUUCUAUUUCCCCGGUGGACAAAACGUUUUCAUGAUUCAGUUUUAACUACAAUGCGAGCUGCUCAUUCCUGCCCACACUGUGAUUAUAUACCCAGUAAUACUGCGCUAUUUGUCUGGCUCAAACUAUGCAAUUACAUCUUUGAAACAGCAGGGGACAGUAGCGUAA